This 468-nucleotide ribosomal RNA is filed under the name uncultured diatom. RNAcentral's name for it is "SSU rRNA". It matches the Rfam family "Bacterial small subunit ribosomal RNA", at positions 217 to 699 of the family's 1533-position model. The record is from RNAcentral. Lineage: Eukaryota; Bacillariophyta.
GCCUAAAGAGAAGCUUGCGGCUGAUCAGCUUGUUGGUGAGGUAAUAGCUCACCAAGGCGACGAUCAGUAUCUGGUUUGAGAGGACGAUCAGACACACUGGAACUGAGACACGGUCCAGACUCCUACGGGAGGCAGCAGUAGGGAAUUUUCCGCAAUGGGCGAAAGCCUGACGGAGCAAUACCGCGUGAGGGAUGACGGCCUAUGGGUUGUAAACCUCUUUUUUCAGGGAGGAAUAAAUGACGUGUACCUGAAGAAUAAGCAUCGGCUAACUCCGUGCCAGCAGCCGCGGUAAGACGGAGGAUGCAAGUGUUAUCCGGAAUCACUGGGCGUAAAGCGUCUGUAGGUGGUCCAAUAAGUCAACUGUUAAAUCUUGAGGUUCAACCUCAAAACCGCAGUCGAAACUAUUAGACUAGAGUAUAGUAGGGGUAAAGGGAAUUUCCAGUGGAGCGGUGAAAUGCGUAGAUAUUG